UACGAAGGGGGCUAGCGUUGUUCGGAAUCACUGGGCGUAAAGGGCGCGUAGGCGGCUUGAUAAGUCGGGGGUGAAAGCCUGUGGCUCAACCACAGAAUUGCCUUCGAUACUGUCGAGCUUGAGACCGGAAGAGGUAAGUGGAACUGCGAGUGUAGAGGUGAAAUUCGUAGAUAUUCGCAAGAACACCAGUGGCGAAGGCGGCUUCCUGGCCUGUUCUUGACGCUGAGGCGCGAAAGCUAGGGGAGCAAACGGG
This 253-nucleotide ribosomal RNA is filed under the name uncultured bacterium. Its description in RNAcentral is "partial 16S ribosomal RNA". It matches the Rfam family "Bacterial small subunit ribosomal RNA", at positions 524 to 776 of the family's 1533-position model. The record is from RNAcentral.